RNAcentral lists this long non-coding RNA (243 nucleotides) under Elaeis guineensis (African oil palm). RNAcentral describes it as "long non-coding RNA (EGUI_LNC009698)". The record is from RNAcentral. Lineage: Eukaryota; Viridiplantae; Streptophyta; Magnoliopsida; Arecales; Arecaceae.
UUGUCCUAUUGGAAGAGUCAGCGGCUGUCUUUCCCCAUUACUUCUCUCUACCUGCUCCAGCUUAUAUUUCAGUAAAACAACCUCUUCCCUCACUACUGCAAGCUCCAAUGCCGAGGCAUUUGGAGUGGGGUUGGCGAAGCUGGCCAAGUAGUGUUCCACCUGUGCAAAAAUUUGCAAACAAGCAUCAAAAUACUGCACCUUAUCAGAGAUCAAUAGGAAGAUCAAAAAAUUCCUUACAUGUGC